Molecule: ribosomal RNA, 377 nt
Filed under: uncultured bacterium
Lineage: Bacteria
Description: bacterial SSU rRNA
Rfam family: Bacterial small subunit ribosomal RNA
Source: RNAcentral
AUACGUAGGUGGCGAGCGUUGUCCGGAAUUACUGGGCGUAAAGGGUGCGCAGGCGGUUAUUUAAGUCAGAUGUGAAAUUCCGGGGCUUAACUUCGGAACUGCAUUUGAAACUGGGUAGCUAGAGUGCAGGAGAGGAAAGCGGAAUUCCUAGUGUAGCGGUGAAAUGCGUAGAUAUUAGGAAGAACACCAGUGGCGAAGGCGGCUUUCUGGACUGUAACUGACGCUGAGGCACGAAAGCGUGGGGAGCAAACAGGAUUAGAUACCCUGGUAGUCCACGCUGUAAACGAUGAAUGCUAGGUGUAGGGGGUAUCGACACCCUCUGUGCCGCAGUAAACGCAAUAAGCAUUCCGCCUGGGGAGUACGGUCGCAAGACUAAA